Molecule: ribosomal RNA, 253 nt
Filed under: uncultured bacterium
Lineage: Bacteria
Description: partial 16S ribosomal RNA
Rfam family: Bacterial small subunit ribosomal RNA
Source: RNAcentral
UACGGAGGGAGCGAGCGUUGUUCGGAAUCACUGGGCGUAAAGCGUGCGCAGGCGGUCUUGAAAGUCAGAAGUGAAAGCCCAGGGCUCAACCCUGGAAUUGCUUUUGAAACUCCAAGACUAGAGUACUGGAGGGGUUGGCGGAAUUUCGAGUGUAGCAGUGAAAUGCGUAGAUAUUCGAAGGAACACCGAUGGCGUAGGCAGCCAACUGGACAGUAACUGACGCUCAUGCACGAAAGCGUGGGGAUCAAACAGG